Molecule: ribosomal RNA, 444 nt
Filed under: uncultured bacterium
Lineage: Bacteria
Description: bacterial SSU rRNA
Rfam family: Bacterial small subunit ribosomal RNA
Source: RNAcentral
ACUCCUACGGGAGGCAGCAGCAGGGAAUAUUGCACAAUGGACGGAAGUCUGAUGCAGCGACGCCGCGUGGACGAAGAAGGCCUUCGGGUUGUAAAGUCCUUUUCAGGGGGAAGAGAGAGGACGGUACCCUUGGAAUAAGCAUCGGCUAACUCCGUGCCAGCAGCCGCGGUAAUACGGAGGAUGCAAGCGUUAUCCGGAUUCAUUGGGUUUAAAGGGUGCGUAGGCGGACUAUUAAGUCAGUGGUGAAAGCCUGCAGCUUAACUGCAGAACUGCCAUUGAUACUGAUAGUCUUGAGUUUGGUUAAGGUAGGCGGAAUGUGUAAUGUAGCGGUGAAAUGCUUAGAUAUUACACAGAACACCAAUUGCGUAGGCAGCUUACUGAGCCGACACUGACGCUGAGGCACGAAAGCGUGGGGAUCGAACAGGAUUAGAUACCCUGGUAGUC